This 884-nucleotide non-coding RNA is filed under the name Xenisthmus clarus. Its description in RNAcentral is "partial 12S ribosomal RNA". It matches the Rfam family "Bacterial small subunit ribosomal RNA", at positions 307 to 1533 of the family's 1533-position model. The record is from RNAcentral. Lineage: Eukaryota; Metazoa; Chordata; Actinopteri; Gobiiformes; Xenisthmidae.
ACCCCUGUGAGUACGCCCUUCACAUCCCUUAUUGGACAGAAGGAGCUGGUAUCAGGCCCAAACAAAAUAGCCCACGACACCUUGCCCAGCCACACCCCCAAGGGGACCCAGCAGUAAUUAAUAUUAAACCAUAAGUGAAAACUUGACUUAGUUAAGACUAACAGGGCCGGUUAAACUCGUGCCAGCCACCGCGGUUAGACGAGUGACCCAAGUUGACAGGCAUCGGCGUAAAGAGUGGUUAAUAGAACACAUACUAAAGCAAAACACCUUCAAAGCUGUGAUAUGCCCCCGAAGGUGGGAAAGCCCCCCACGAAAGUAGCUUUAAGCUUCAUGACGCCACGAAAGCUAGGACACAAACUGGGAUUAGAUACCCCACUAUGCCUAGCCCUAAACAAAAGCAGCCUUUUUACAGCUCCUGCUCGCCAGGGAAUUACAAGCCUCCGGCUCAAAACCCAAAGGACUUGACGGUGCUUUAUCCCACCUAGAGGAGCCUGUUCUAUAACCGAUAACCCACGUUUAACCUCACCCUCUUUUGCCAGUUCCGCCUAUAUACCGCCGUCGUCAGCUUACUCUGUGAAGACAAAACAGUAAGCAAAAUUGGCACAGCCCAAAACGUCAGGUCGAGGUGUAGUAUAUAAGAGGGCAAGAAAUGGGCUACACUCACUGCCACAGUGAAUACGGACUAUGCUUUGAAAUAAGCAUUUGAAGGUGGAUUUAACAGUAAGAAGCGAACAAGCAUGUCCCCCUGAAACUGGCCCUGAAGCACGCACACACCGCCCGUCACCCUCCCCCAAGCAGCUAAAAAUUAUACAUAACAAGCAAACACCGCUAAGAGGAGGAAAGUCGUAACAUGGUAAGUGUACCGGAAGGUGCACUUGGAACAU